This 1352-nucleotide ribosomal RNA is filed under the name Citricoccus sp. RNAcentral describes it as "bacterial SSU rRNA". Lineage: Bacteria; Bacillati; Actinomycetota; Actinomycetes; Micrococcales; Micrococcaceae. The record is from RNAcentral.
GCUUGCUGGGGUGGAUGAGUGGCGAACGGGUGAGUAACACGUGAGUAACCUUCCCUUGACUCUGGGAUAAGCCCGGGAAACUGGGUCUAAUACCGGAUAUGACCUCCUGUCGCAUGGUGGGGGGUGGAAAGAUUUAUCGGUCUUGGAUGGACUCGCGGCCUAUCAGCUUGUUGGUGAGGUAAUGGCUCACCAAGGCGACGACGGGUAGCCGGCCUGAGAGGGUGACCGGCCACACUGGGACUGAGACACGGCCCASACUCCUACGGGAGGCAGCAGUGGGGAAUAUUGCACAAUGGGCGCAAGCCUGAUGCAGCGACGCCGCGUGAGGGAUGACGGCCUUCGGGUUGUAAACCUCUUUCAGUAGGRAAGAAGCCUUCGGGUGACGGUACCUGCAGAAGAAGCGCCGGCUAACUACGUGCCAGCAGCCGCGGUAAUACGUAGGGCGCGAGCGUUAUCCGGAAUUAUUGGGCGUAAAGAGCUCGUAGGCGGUUUGUCGCGUCUGCCGUGAAAGUCCGGGGCUUAACCCCGGAUCUGCGGUGGGUACGGGCAGACUAGAGUGCAGUAGGGGAGACCGGAAUUCCUGGUGUAGCGGUGAAAUGCGCAGAUAUCAGGAGGAACACCGAUGGCGAAGGCAGGUCUCUGGGCUGUUACUGACGCUGAGGAGCGAAAGCAUGGGGAGCGAACAGGAUUAGAUACCCUGGUAGUCCAUGCCGUAAACGUUGGGCACUAGGUGUGGGGGACAUUCCACGUUUUCCGCGCCGCAGCUAACGCAUUAAGUGCCCCGCCUGGGGAGUACGGCCGCAAGGCUAAAACUCAAAGGAAUUGACGGGGGCCCGCACAAGCGGCGGAGCAUGCGGAUUAAUUCGAUGCAACGCGAAGAACCUUACCAAGGCUUGACAUGUUCUCGAUCGCCACAGAGAUGUGGUUUCCCCUUUGGGGCGGGUUCACAGGUGGUGCAUGGUUGUCGUCAGCUCGUGUCGUGAGAUGUUGGGUUAAGUCCCGCAACGAGCGCAACCCUCGUUCCAUGUUGCCAGCGGGUUAUGCCGGGGACUCAUGGGAGACUGCCGGGGUCAACUCGGAGGAAGGUGGGGACGACGUCAAAUCAUCAUGCCCCUUAUGUCUUGGGCUUCACGCAUGCUACAAUGGCCGGUACAAUGGGUUGCGAUACUGUGAGGUGGAGCUAAUCCCAAAAAGCCGGUCUCAGUUCGGAUUGGGGUCUGCAACUCGACCCCAUGAAGUCGGAGUCGCUAGUAAUCGCAGAUCAGCAACGCUGCGGUGAAUACGUUCCCGGGCCUUGUACACACCGCCCGUCAAGUCACGAAAGUCGGUAACACCCGAAGCCGGUGGCCCAA